CCUACGGGAGUCAGCAGUAAGGAAUAUUGGUCAAUGGACGAAAGUCUGAACCAGCCAUGCCGCGUGAAGGAUGAAGGCCCUCUGGGUUGUAAACUUCUUUUAUCUGGGACGAAAAAAGCUCAUUCUUGAGCACUUGACGGUACCAGAGGAAUAAGCACCGGCUAACUCCGUGCCAGCAGCCGCGGUAAUACGGAGGGUGCAAGCGUUAUCCGGAUUCACUGGGUUUAAAGGGUGCGUAGGUGGGUCUGUAAGUCAGUGGUGAAAUCUCCGAGCUUAACUCGGAAACUGCCAUUGAUACUAUAGGUCUUGAAUCAUCUGGAGGUAAGCGGAAUAUGUCAUGUAGCGGUGAAAUGCUUAGAUAUGACAUAGAACACCAAUUGCGAAGGCAGCUUACUACGGGUGUAUUGACACUGAGGCACGAAAGCGUGGGGAUCAAACAGGAUUAGAUACCCUGGUAGUCCACGCCCUAAACGAUGGAUACUCGACAUCAGCGAUACACUGUUGGUGUCUGAGNGAAGANAUAAUAUCCNCCNCGAGAGACGCGAGUAGAGANAANAGAUAGAGNGNGAGAGNGCGAGACGACACAGGGAGGAG
This 594-nucleotide ribosomal RNA is filed under the name uncultured bacterium. RNAcentral describes it as "bacterial SSU rRNA". The stretch from base 1 to 532 matches the Rfam family "Bacterial small subunit ribosomal RNA", at positions 338 to 873 of the family's 1533-position model. The record is from RNAcentral.